CCUACGGGGGGCUGCAGUGGGGAAUAUUGGACAAUGGGGGCAACCCUGAUCCAGCCAUGCCGCGUGUGUGAAGAAGGCCCUCGGGUUGUAAAGCACUUUCAGUGAGGAAGAACGCCUGGUGGUUAAUACCCAUCAGGAAAGACAUCACUCACAGAAGAAGCACCGGCUAACUCCGUGCCAGCAGCCGCGGUAAUACGGAGGGUGCGAGCGUUAAUCGGAAUUACUGGGCGUAAAGCGCGCGUAGGUGGCUUGAUAAGCCGGUUGUGAAAGCCCCGGGCUCAACCUGGGAACGGCACCCGGAACUGUCAAGCUAGAGUGCAGGAGAGGAAGGUAGAAUUCCCGGUGUAGCGGUGAAAUGCGUAGAGAUCGGGAGGAAUACCAGUGGCGAAGGCGGCCUUCUGGACUGACACUGACACUGAGGUGCGAAAGCGUGGGUAGCAAACAGGAUUAGAUACCCCAGUAGUC
RNAcentral lists this ribosomal RNA (465 nucleotides) under Vreelandella stevensii. Its description in RNAcentral is "partial 16S ribosomal RNA". It matches the Rfam family "Bacterial small subunit ribosomal RNA", at positions 338 to 795 of the family's 1533-position model. The record is from RNAcentral. Lineage: Bacteria; Pseudomonadati; Pseudomonadota; Gammaproteobacteria; Oceanospirillales; Halomonadaceae.